The sequence is a ribosomal RNA, 97 nucleotides long. It matches the Rfam family "Bacterial small subunit ribosomal RNA", at positions 1 to 94 of the family's 1533-position model.
UUUAACUGAAGAGUUUGAUCAUGGCUCAGAUUGAACGCUGGCGGCAGGCUUAACACAUGCAAGUCGAGCGGGGAAAGGUAGCUUGCUACCUUACCUA